UCAAAGCUAUCAAAAUAUCCACUUGCAGAUUCUACAAAAAGAGUGUUUCAAAACUGCUCUAUCAAAAGAAAGGUUCAAAUUUGUUAGUUGAGCACAACCAUCACAAACAAGUUUCUGAGAAUGCUUCUGUCUAGUUUUUAUGGGAAGAGAUUUCCUUUUUCACCAUAGGCCUCAAAGUGCUCCAAAUGUCCACUUCCAGACACUACAAAAGGAGUAUUUCAAACGUGCUCUAUGAAAGAGAAUGUUGAACUCUGU
This 255-nucleotide long non-coding RNA is filed under the name Homo sapiens (human). RNAcentral describes it as "HSALNT0341057". Lineage: Eukaryota; Metazoa; Chordata; Mammalia; Primates; Hominidae. The record is from RNAcentral.